RNAcentral lists this ribosomal RNA (450 nucleotides) under uncultured bacterium. RNAcentral's name for it is "partial 16S ribosomal RNA". It matches the Rfam family "Bacterial small subunit ribosomal RNA", at positions 354 to 796 of the family's 1533-position model. The record is from RNAcentral.
GUGGGGAAUCUUCCGCAAUGGACGAAAGUCUGACGGAGCGACGCCGCGUGAGUGAAGAAGGCCUUCGGGUCGUAAAGCUCUGUCAUCAGGGACGAACGGCCGGUGGAGUGGAAAGCCACCGGAUUGACGGUACCCGAGAAGGAAGCCACGGCUAACUACGUGCCAGCAGCCGCGGUAAUACGUAGGUGGCAAGCGUUGUCCGGAAUUAUUGGGCGUAAAGCGCGCGCAGGUGGGAUCUUAAGUCCAUUUUUAAAGUUCGGAGCUCAACUCCGUGAUGGGAUGGAAACUGGGAUUCUUGAGUACCGGAGAGGAAAGCGGAAUUCCCCGUGUAGCGGUGAAAUGCGUAGAUAUGGGGAGGAACACCAGUGGCGAAGGCGGCUUUCUGGACGGUGUCUGACACUGAGGCGCGAAAGCCAGGGGAGCGAACGGGAUUAGAAACCCGUGUAGUCC